Molecule: unclassified non-coding RNA, 351 nt
Filed under: fungal sp.
Lineage: Eukaryota; Fungi
Description: partial internal transcribed spacer region
Rfam family: Eukaryotic small subunit ribosomal RNA (bases 1-46)
Source: RNAcentral
AAGUCGUAACAAGGUAUCCGUAGGUGAACCUGCGGAUGGAUCAUUAUCGUAUCCAAUACUACCUAUCUACCAAUCGUGAACCGUUUGCCUUUUAUACAACAAUCAGCCAAUCGAUCGCUUCGGUGAUUGAUCGCUCUCUUGGAAUUGAAAGGGUGAGGCUUUCGGGCCGGCUCGUUGUAUAAGAGUGUACUUCUCUUCAAUUCUAUCUUACUAUUAACCAAUUGAACCAUUCUAAAAUGUUUUUCUUUGUAUUGAACUGAAUUGUUUCUUACUUGUAAGCUAACACUUGCGAGAAGAAAUCGAUUUACGAAAUAAAAAGAACAACUCUUAGCAACGGAUAUCUUGGUUCUC